This 335-nucleotide unclassified non-coding RNA is filed under the name soil metagenome. Its description in RNAcentral is "partial contains 5.8S ribosomal RNA, internal transcribed spacer 2, and large subunit ribosomal RNA". The stretch from base 1 to 120 matches the Rfam family "5.8S ribosomal RNA", at positions 35 to 154 of the family's 154-position model. The record is from RNAcentral.
GAUGAAGAACGCAGCGAAAUGCGAUAAGUAGUGUGAAUUGCAGAAUUCAGUGAAUCAUCGAAUCUUUGAACGCACAUUGCGCCCCUUGGUAUUCCAUGGGGCAUGCCUGUUCGAGCGUCAUUUGUACCUGCAAGCUUUGCUUGGUGUUGGGUGUUUGUCUCGCCUUUGCGUGUAGACUCGCCUUAAAAUAAUUGGCAGCCGGCGUAUUGAUUUCGGAGCGCAGUACAUCUCGCGCUUUGCACUCAUAACGACAGCGUCCAAAAGUACAUUUUACACUCUUGACCUCGGAUCAGGUAGGGAUACCCGCUGAACUUAAGCAUAUCAAUAAGCGAGGA